AGUGAACGCUGGCGGUAGGCCUAACACAUGCAAGUCGAACGGCAGCACAGUAAGAGCUUGCUCUUACGGGUGGCGAGUGGCGGACGGGUGAGGAAUACAUCGGAAUCUACUUUUUCGUGGGGGAUAACGUAGGGAAACUUACGCUAAUACCGCAUACGACCUACGGGUGAAAGCAGGUGAUCUUCGGACCUUGCGCGAUUGAAUGAGCCGAUGUCGGAUUAGCUAGUUGGCGGGGUAAAGGCCCACCAAGGCGACGAUCCGUAGCUGGUCUGAGAGGAUGAUCAGCCACACUAGAACUGAGACACGGUCCAGACUCAUACAGAAGGCAGCAGUGGGGAAUAUUGGACAAUGAGCGCAAGCCUGAUCCAGCCAUACCGCGUAGGUGAAGAAGGCCUUCGGGUUGUAAAGCCCUUUUGCUGGGAAAGAAAAGCAGCAGGUUAAUACCCCGCUGUUCUGACGGUACCCAAAGAAUAAGCACCGGCUAACUUCGUG
Molecule: ribosomal RNA, 492 nt
Filed under: uncultured bacterium
Lineage: Bacteria
Description: partial 16S ribosomal RNA
Rfam family: Bacterial small subunit ribosomal RNA
Source: RNAcentral